GCGACGCUGGCGGCGUGCCUCCUACAUGCAGUCGAGCGGACGGAUGGGAGCUUGCUCCCUGAAGUCAGCGGCGGACGGGUGAGUAACACGUGGGCAACCUGCCUGUAAGACUGGGAUAACUCCGGGAAACCGGGGCUAAUACCGGAUAACUCUUUUCCUCACAUGAGGAAAAGCUGAAAGAUGGUUUCGGCUAUCACUUACAGAUGGGCCCGCGGCGCAUUAGCUAGUUGGUGAGGUAACGGCUCACCAAGGCCACGAUGCGUAGCCGACCUGAGAGGGUGAUCGGCCACACUGGGACUGAGACACGGCCCAGACUCCUACGGGAGGCAGCAGUAGGGAAUCUUCCGCAAUGGACGAAAGUCUGACGGAGCAACGCCGCGUGAGUGAUGAAGGUUUUCGGAUCGUAAAACUCUGUUGUCAGGGAAGAACAAGUACCGGAGUAACUGCCGGUACCUUGACGGUACCUGACCAGAAAGCCACGGCUAACUACGUGCCAGCAGCCGCGGUAAUACGUAGGGUGGCAAGCGUUGUCCGGAAUUAUUGGGCGUAAGGCGCGCGCAGGCGUUCCUUAAAUUCUGAUGUGAAGCCCCCCGGCUCCACCGGGGAGGGUUCAUUGGAACUGGGGAACUUGAGUUGCGAAAAAAGAGUGGAUUCCACCUGUAGCGGUGAAUGCGUAAAAUGUGGAAGGAACCAGGGCGAGGCACUCUUGUCUGUACUUAACCUUAGGCGAACCGGGGGACAAGAAUGAUUCUGGAUCCCCCCUUACAUAGGUCUAUGGUUAAGGUUUCCCUUUUGGUCGCACAAACGUAGGUCUCCCCUGGGGAUGCCCCAGCUAACCAAAUAGGGGCCGACGUUGACUGUUUUUUAAGGCGGAAUCUCUGGGAAUCUGGAACAU
Molecule: ribosomal RNA, 895 nt
Filed under: Cytobacillus firmus
Lineage: Bacteria; Bacillati; Bacillota; Bacilli; Caryophanales; Bacillaceae
Description: bacterial SSU rRNA
Rfam family: Bacterial small subunit ribosomal RNA
Source: RNAcentral